UUAUAUUGUUUAUCUUGUUAUUGUAUUUGUGGUGUAUCGUUCAUGUACUUUAUUUUGUCGCAGCGUGAAAGAGGAAUUAGUUGGUUUGGAGAAGCCUUUUAUGGAUUCCUGAGUUUUUUGUUCCUGGUGUUUUUCUCUCUAUGUUAAUGUGCUGCUGUGGAGUUCUAGUAAAGAGAGACUUAAGCAAAUAUGAAGCCUCCUGUCAAUAAAAUUAAGAUUAUCGUUACACUAAAGCUAGUAUAAUCUACAAUUUAAGACAAGAAGAUGCAUGGGAGGUUUGAAGGUGAGGCAUAUGAAAC
Pelobates cultripes (western spadefoot toad) is the source of this 299-nucleotide non-coding RNA. NCBI's taxonomy places the organism in Eukaryota, Metazoa, Chordata, Amphibia, Anura, Pelobatidae. The record is from the annotation of a GenBank genome assembly.